Molecule: long non-coding RNA, 226 nt
Filed under: Carica papaya (papaya)
Lineage: Eukaryota; Viridiplantae; Streptophyta; Magnoliopsida; Brassicales; Caricaceae
Description: long non-coding RNA (CPAP_LNC005621)
Source: RNAcentral
GGUUAAAAAAAUCCAUUACGUUUUAAGUCCAUAUUUGUCUUCGUUGUACUUAACAUUUUGUUUCUUUCAAUUGUGUUUUUCUUUUGUGAUGUAGCCAAAUAACUACCUAUAAUCUAGUUAUUUAAGCAUCAUAAUAAUAAAAGUUACAAACCUCAUUUAUCUGUGUGCUUAAUUUUGAGCUCUUAGAAAUGAGAUCCCUUUUAGAAUUUCCUGUAGAAUCUUAAAG